AGAUGUUUGUGUAAUAACAUUCAACCUGUCGAGCAAGCCUGCUUAACUAGUCGUUGUUAUUUUUGACCUCGCUACUGCAGAUGUUGGACAUGUUUGGUGUAAGUAACAAUGUUG
This is a microRNA precursor of Ciona intestinalis (vase tunicate), 114 nucleotides long. Lineage: Eukaryota; Metazoa; Chordata; Ascidiacea; Phlebobranchia; Cionidae. The record is from Ensembl.